Molecule: ribosomal RNA, 902 nt
Filed under: uncultured bacterium
Lineage: Bacteria
Description: bacterial SSU rRNA
Rfam family: Bacterial small subunit ribosomal RNA
Source: RNAcentral
AGAGUUUGAUUAUGGCUCAGAUUGAACGCUGGCGGCAGGCCUAACACAUGCAAGUCGAGCGGUAGAGAGAAGCUUGCUUCUCUUGAGAGCGGCGGACGGGUGAGUAAUGCCUAGGAAUCUGCCUGGUAGUGGGGGAUAACGUUCGGAAACGGACGCUAAUACCGCAUACGUCCUACGGGAGAAAGCAGGGGACCUUCGGGCCUUGCGCUAUCAGAUGAGCCUAGGUCGGAUUAGCUAGUUGGUGAGGUAAUGGCUCACCAAGGCGACGAUCCGUAACUGGUCUGAGAGGAUGAUCAGUCACACUGGAACUGAGACACGGUCCAGACUCCUACGGGAGGCAGCAGUGGGGAAUAUUGGACAAUGGGCGAAAGCCUGAUCCAGCCAUGCCGCGUGUGUGAAGAAGGUCUUCGGAUUGUAAAGCACUUUAAGUUGGGAGGAAGGGCAGUUACCUAAUACGUGAUUGUUUUGACGUUACCGACAGAAUAAGCACCGGCUAACUCUGUGCCAGCAGCCGCGGUAAUACAGAGGGUGCAAGCGUUAAUCGGAAUUACUGGGCGUAAAGCGCGCGUAGGUGGUUAGUUAAGUUGGAUGUGAAAUCCCCGGGCUCAACCUGGGAACUGCAUUCAAAACUGACUGACUAGAGUAUGGUAGAGGGUGGUGGAAUUUCCUGUGUAGCGGUGAAAUGCGUAGAUAUAGGAAGGAACACCAGUGGCGAAGGCGACCACCUGGACUGAUACUGACACUGAGGUGCGAAAGCGUGGGGAGCAAACAGGAUUAGAUACCCUGGUAGUCCACGCCGUAAACGAUGUCAACUAGCCGUUGGGAGCCUUGAGCUCUUAGUGGCGCAGCUAACGCAUUAAGUUGACCGCCUGGGGAGUACGGCCGCAAGGUUAAAACUCAAA